UCCCAUUGGCCAGAGCUAGGUCACAUGACAAACCCUGGCUCCCUCACUGGAAGGGGCCAAACUGCGGUAGCCCAAUGGGGCUGCAAAGGACUCACUUUUCUCGAGAAGUGGGGACAAGGGCCAUUUACACGAAGCCAGCGUCCUGGUCGCACAGGAGAAGAGGGCAAAGGGCAUGGUGUCAGCCCGAGUCACAAAGACACCUUGCACCUCUGGGUAGACGCAGGAUCCUUUUUAGAACUCAAAUCUGAACGCUCUUUGUUGACUCGAAUCCACUCCGGGAACGCAGGGUGUGUUUGUGAGUGACUUCCUACAUUUAGGAUUGUUUGACCUUCCCUUCCUCCUUUAAGUUUUGCUGGGUUUGGGGCAUUGCUAUGAAUGAUGUUUCCCGAUGAAAGUCCUUCCCUGAGACCCCACCUGUGCCUCCAGGUAGGAGAAGGUCGAGGAGUAGGCUGGCGGCAGGAGAAUUUCCCAGGGCACCGUCACCGUCCAGCCAACUCACAGCUGAACCCAAACAGAGGGAGCGCUCCCCAGGACGCUUAGACUGAAGUCCCGCCCAGCCUCGGAGAGAAGGGGCGAACGCCUGAACUGUUUUGUAGAAAUGCAUCCUGCAAUGCGGCUACUGUUCUGCAGAGCCAGGGGGAGAGGAAGCAGAGCUUCGAGUAUCAAAUGGGAACAAUUUUGAAGGCUUCCUGCCUGUACGGUGGCAUCUGGAAAGCUGGAAACCCAGUUCCCUGGACUCCUCUGCAUCGGGGACCCAUGAAUACAUUGUGUUCACUCGGGACUCAGAGGUGGAAAUGAGCUGUGGAAGAAGGUGGCCGCAGGCUGGGAGGGUGGCCUUUUUGAAAAGCACAGAGACAAUGUAUCUGGUCUUGGGUCUUCCAAGGAAAUACAGGAUUUUUGCACGUUCAGUCUCAAACUCCAUGGGUGGCAAUUUGCAGCUGUGAGCAACAGAGGGCUUUCUGUAAACACAGUGGGCUGGAGCAUUUGGGGGCUCUGUUGACCCGAGGGUUGUCCAGUACUGUCCUAGGUCUGAGUAGCAUUCAAGCUUGGUUCUUUGGUCAUGUCCAAAAGUCCGUAAGGAACCCAACAAAUAAACUUGAAUAGAUGCCUUUUGGUGUGAGUUUG
This is a long non-coding RNA of Neofelis nebulosa (Clouded leopard), 1125 nucleotides long. RefSeq lists it as uncharacterized. Lineage: Eukaryota; Metazoa; Chordata; Mammalia; Carnivora; Felidae. The transcript has 2 exons. The record is from RefSeq and is a predicted model, not a curated record.